GAUUGAGCAAGCAAUGGACAGAGCCAUUUGAGGAGGGGCAAUGUGUUGUCAUGGAAAGGCCACACAUCCUGGAAUCAACUGACCUGGUAUCUGAUUCAGGCACCAAAGCUUAUGAAUCUUGGAAUAUAGUCAGCUACAAUCAUGGGUUAUUCUCCAAAUGAAGAGUCCAAACACUGGCAAAAUAAAAAGCACAUUUGGUCCAUCACAUUCCUAACUAUAAUGGAUGCUGAGAAAUGGAUGCACUGUAACAACCCGCAAGUUUCCUGGUACUGCUGCUGUCAUUGCAAAACCAUGGCUCCUUCAAAGUAUCCAUCUCUUGCCUCUGCCAGAAAAAGCCAGCCGUUAACAGAAACUAAACCCAAGGAGUCAACACAGCUAUGGCCAGAUUUUCCUCCUUGCCAUUCUUCAAACAGCCUUGGAUUCUCAGUAACUCAAGAACCAAAGAGUCCAAAGCCAUGGUUUGACCAGACGGAUCAUCAGCACCGCUCCACGACUGAUGCUGCUUUCCCUUCUUCUCUAGCCAGCUGUACUUCGUGAGCUCCCUUUGGUCAUUCAGGACACCAGAAACAAAUAAACUAAGAAGCAUUAGUUCAUCUCCAUGAGCUGCUCCAAGAGCUUUAAAUGUAGGUCAGUUGCAAAGUCCAGGAGCAGAAGUAUGUAUACAUAUAUGAGACUUAUUAAAUGGUGGCAUUCUGGGAAGAGCAUCACCACUGAUAAAGAAUCAUUGAAACUUUCUAUUUCUGUGAACAGUGGUAAAUAUAAAUCUUAAAGUCAUAGAAUCUGAGAGUGGUAGAGGACUUCAGUGGUCAUCAAGUCCAUCCUCCCACCCAAGGUAGGAUUAUUCUAUGUGGCCCUGACAGGGAGUCUAAUGUCCUAUAUCCCUCCCAUAUCACAUAAAAAUAUCAGAGGAGUCAGUUUAAAUGCACACUGUUCUGUUGGCUAGGGAAGGCCAUCGACUGUGACAUCUAUUGCCCAAAGUUGCAGUCUGAAGGGCCAAAUAGCAGAUAGAAAAAGUUAUGUCUUAAAGAGGGGUAAAGGUCACAACCUAGAAGGAGAACACCAAAUAAGCUUGUCAAUCUCAGCAUCAAAUUGGAAGAAGGUUAUCAAGUAUACAGAGCCAGAACAAGAAGAUACCCAAGAUGCUGAUGGGUGACAAAUAUGGACUAAGUGGAUUGGAGGUGAGCACAUUUGGAGGGAUUUCUGCAGGUUCUCAUGAUAAAUUUUUUAUAUAGUUCUCACACAGAUUUAUAUAAUUGUGCCAGGUACUUUUGGAGGAUCUAGAAGGGAACUUCUGUCUUGCUUCUGCUAAAUGAUCCCUGUCUCACACGGUGGCCCAUUCCAUCAUUAGGAAGUGCCGACAAUCAGAAUAUUCUCCACACCCUCUUCCCUCUGGCCAUAGAUCUGUUCUUGAGUGACACGCAGAGCAAAUCUAAAUUUCUUUUUCUCAUGAUGACCUUUCAAAUAAUUAAAGCAGAUCCUAUGUUCCCGUUCAAUAUUUCCUGCUCUAGGCUACAUCUCUCCUGAUUCCUUCAACUGUUCUCAGAUGAUGUAAUUUUGUAGCUUCCAAACUUUCAAGUUGGAAAGGGCCUCAGAAAUUCAAGUACAGAUCUCCCUCUUUUUCCGGGAGGAAGAUAAGGUUUAGAGAGAAGAAAUGCAGCUUUGGGUAGAGGUGGGGAGUAGAUUUUGCCCAAUGUCAUCUGGAAGUGGCAAUUUCAAAACUUAAACCUGAAUCUCUUCAUCUGAAGUCUAGUGUUUUCCCCAUAUCUUUCAACAAACCUCAGGAUCCUACUCACUUUCCUCUGGAUUCAUUCCAGCUUCUCAGUCUUCUUCUUUAAAGGGAGCCCCUUUUGUUGAACCCACCAGCAGAUGUGGUCUAGCCAACCAAGAGAACAAGGGGAUUGUUAUCGAUUUUAUUGUAAACUUCAUACAUCCAUUAAUGCUGCUAUGAUUACUUUAGAUUUCUUUGGCAGGCCCUGGUGAUUCAUACUGAGCAUGUGGUUAACUAAAACCAUUUGUUUUGUGUGGUUUUCUUUUACUUGAAAUGUGUCAAGGAAGGUAUUUUCCACCUUGUACUAAAAUAGUUCAUUUUUAAUUUAACAAAAGUGUAGGACUUUAUAUUUAAUCUUCCUAAAUAUCUCUUUGUUAAUUUAGUAUAUCUUUCCACCCAGUUGAGAUAUUUUUGAAUUUUAAUUCUAUCAAACAUAUUAACUAACCAUCCAUGUUUUAUGAUAUACAUAGAUUCAAUAAGCACACUGUGGCAAAGACAAUUCUUGCCAAAUAUGCCAUGUACUCCCUUGCUUUACCCAAACGCUGUUGCAAUUGGGUUGGAGCCAUGUGACUUCCCCCAGCCAAUGGACGGUGAGUAAAGGUGAUGUCAUUUCUGGGCCAAGGCAUUUAAGAGACAAUCUGAUUCUUCUAUUCCUCUAUUCCCCUGAUGCAGAGACCUUGAACGCCAUAUGUUCUAGACAUAACUGUAGGUGGAGCUUACAUGAGCCUGUGGCAAUACAUUAAAGAUAUUUGACUAUAUUCUAUUAAUUCAAAUUUGUAUCAGCUACAAAUUCAUUUCCACCCAAAAACAUCAUUAAAGAUUUAGGUAAAUGUUGAAUAUGUCAAAUUAGCUUUAUUUAGCCAUUCCACAAUGAAUACAUAUCAAAACAUCGUGUUAUACACCAUAUGUGUAUGUGUGUGUGUAUAUGUAUAUAUGUGUGUGUGUAUAUAUAUAUAUGUAUACAUAUAGUUUCAUAUAGUUUGGUUGUUUUUUUUUUUUUUUUGAGAUGGAGUUUCGCUCUUGUCACCCAGGCUGGAGUGCAAUGGCAUGAUCUCGGCUCACUGCAACCUCUGCCUCCCAGGUUCAAGUGAUGAUUCUCCUGCCUCAGCCUCCCAAGUAGCUGGGAUUACAAGCACCCGCCACCAA
Molecule: long non-coding RNA, 2914 nt
Organism: Pan troglodytes (chimpanzee)
Lineage: Eukaryota; Metazoa; Chordata; Mammalia; Primates; Hominidae
Exons: 3
Source: RefSeq, a predicted model, not a curated record